ACACGUAAGGUGCGAGCGUUGUUCGGAAUCAUUGGGCGUAAAGGGCAUGUAGGCGGUCUGUCAAGCCAGGCGUGAAAGCCAGGGGCUCAACCCCUGAACUGCGCUUGGAACUGGCGGACUGGAGUCGCUGAGGGGGAACCGGAAUUCCUGGUGUAGGGGUGAAGUCUGUAGAUAUCAGGAAGAACACCGAUGGCGAAGGCAGGUUUCCAGCAGACGACUGACGCUGAGGUGCGAAGGUGCGGGGAGC
RNAcentral lists this ribosomal RNA (247 nucleotides) under uncultured bacterium. RNAcentral's name for it is "partial 16S ribosomal RNA". It matches the Rfam family "Bacterial small subunit ribosomal RNA", at positions 523 to 769 of the family's 1533-position model. The record is from RNAcentral.